Molecule: ribosomal RNA, 257 nt
Filed under: uncultured bacterium
Lineage: Bacteria
Description: partial 16S ribosomal RNA
Source: RNAcentral
CUGCUGCCUCCCGUAGGAGUCUGGUCCGUGUCCCAGUACCAGUGUGGGGGACCUUCCUCUCAGAACCCCUACGCAUCGUCGUCUUGGUGGUCCGUUACACCGCCAACUAACUAAUGCGACGCAUGCCCAUCCGCCACCGGAAUUAACCUUUGGCACCAACAGGAUGUCCCGUCGAUGCAUUAUGCCGUAUUAGACGGAAUUUCUCCCGAUUAUCCGGCUGUGGCAGGCAGGUUGCAUACGUGUUACUCACCCGUGCG